This 477-nucleotide ribosomal RNA is filed under the name uncultured bacterium. Its description in RNAcentral is "partial 16S ribosomal RNA". It matches the Rfam family "Bacterial small subunit ribosomal RNA", at positions 30 to 507 of the family's 1533-position model. The record is from RNAcentral.
AUUGAACGCUGGCGGCAUGCCUUACACAUGCAAGUCGAACGGUAACAGGUUAAGCUGACGAGUGGCGAACGGGUGAGUAAUGUAUCGGAACGUGCCCAGUCGUGGGGGAUAACUGCUCGAAAGAGCAGCUAAUACCGCAUACGACCUGAGGGUGAAAGCGGGGGAUCGCAAGACCUCGCGCGAUUGGAGCGGCCGAUAUCAGAUUAGGUGGUUGGUGAGGUAAAGGCUCACCAAGCCGACGAUCUGUAGCUGGUCUGAGAGGACGACCAGCCACACUGGGACUGAGACACGGCCCAGACUCCUACGGGAGGCAGCAGUGGGGAAUUUUGGACAAUGGGCGCAAGCCUGAUCCAGCCAUGCCGCGUGCGGGAAGAAGGCCUUCGGGUUGUAAACCGCUUUUGUCAGGGAAGAAAAGGUUCUGGCUAAUACCUGGGACUCAUGACGGUACCUGAAGAAUAAGCACCGGCUAACUACGUG